Molecule: long non-coding RNA, 229 nt
Organism: Alligator sinensis (Chinese alligator)
Lineage: Eukaryota; Metazoa; Chordata; Crocodylia; Alligatoridae
Exons: 3
Source: RefSeq, a predicted model, not a curated record
GGUGCUGCCCUGCCUGCACACCUUCUGCGAGAGGUGCUGCCCUGCUUGCACACCUGUGAGAAGCGAACCUGGCCCCUGACCCCAACGUACCACAGCGCCAAGGUGCUGCUUCGAUCUGCACACCUGCAAGAGCCCCAAGGUGCUGCCCUGCCUGCACAUUUUCUGCAAGCAGUGAGCCUGAGCCCCCAACCCCGACCAGUGUCGCUGCCCCAGAGUGCUGCCCUGCGCA